ACUUGGAUAGCUUAUAUUUAGAGCGUGACACUGAAGAUGUUAGUGAGGUAAUUUAUUUACCUUUAAGUA
This 69-nucleotide transfer RNA is filed under the name Prorhinotermes inopinatus. RNAcentral's name for it is "tRNA-Phe". The record is from RNAcentral. Lineage: Eukaryota; Metazoa; Arthropoda; Insecta; Blattodea; Rhinotermitidae.